AAAGGAAAGACCGGUGCAAGCGGGACAGUAGCCAUGCAGGCAAAUCCGUGUGGCAAUACGAAGGCGUGACGCGGACCGAAAUAAAGUAGGGAAGCAUGUGAGCCAUGUGCCAAGAAAAGCCGCUAUAGAUCAUAUCGUACCCGUACCGUAAACCGACACAGGUAGAUGAGGAGAGAAUCCUAAGGCCGACGGGAGAAGCAUUGUUAAGGAACUCGGCAAAAUGACCCCGUAACUUCGGGAGAAGGGGUGCCCACGCGAGUGGGCCGCAGAGAAUAGGCUCAAGCAACUGUUUAGCAAAAACACAGGUCUAUGCGAAACCGAAAGGUGAGGUAUAUGGGCUGACGCCUGCCCGGUGCUGGAAGGUUAAGAGGAGGAGUCAGGCAACGAAGCUCCGAAUUUAAGCCCCAGUAAACGGCGGCCGUAACAAUAACGGUCCUAAGGUAGCGAAAUUCCUUGUCGGGUAAGUUCCGACCCGCACGAAAGGCGUAAUGAUUUGAGCACUGUCUCGACAAUGCACCCGGUGAAAUUGAAGUACCAGUGAAGAUGCUGGUUACCUGCGCCAGGACGGAAAGACCCCAUGGAGCUUUACUCCAGUUUGAUACUGGGAUUCGAUACUGAAUGUACAGGAUAGGUGGGAGGCUGAGAAGCGUGGACGCCAGUCUGCGGUGAGCCGCUGUUGGGAUACCACCCUUUGAGUAUUGGAUUUCUAACCUGCGCCCGUGACCCGGGCGGGGGACAAUGUCUGACGGGGAGUUUGACUGGGGCGGUCGCCUCCGAAAGGGUAUCGGAGGCGCUCAAAGGUUCCCUCAGAAUGGUUGGAAACCAUUCGCAGAGUGCAAAGGCAGAAGGGAGCUUGACUGUGACACCGACGGGUGGAGCAGGUACGAAAGUAGGACUUAGUGAUCCGGUGGUAUGAAAGUGGGAUUGCCAUCGCUCAACGGAUAAAGGCUACCCUGGGAUAACAGGCUUAUCACUCCCAAGAGUUCACAUCGACGGAGUGGUUUGGCACCUCGAUGUCGGCUCAUCGCAUCCUGGGGCUGUAGCAGGUCCCAAGGGUUGGGCUGUUCGCCCAUUAAAGCGGUACGCGAGCUGGGUUCAGAACGUCGUGAGACAGUUCGGUCCCUAUCCGGCGCAGGCGUAGGAUAUUUGAGAGGAGCUGUCCUUAGUACGAGAGGACCGGGAUGGACAGACCGCUGGUGUAUCUGUUGGUGACCAACACCAUGGCAGAGUAGCCAAGUCUGGCAGGGAUAAACGCUGAAGGCAUCUAAGCGUGAAGCCCCCCUCAAGAUGAGAUAUCCCAAUAAGUAAGACCCCUUAGAGAGUAUGAGGUAGAUAGGCUUAAGGUGUAAGCAUAGUAAUAUGUUCAGCUGAUAAGUACUAAUAGGUCGAGGGCUUACC
This 1398-nucleotide ribosomal RNA is filed under the name metagenome. Its description in RNAcentral is "bacterial LSU rRNA". It matches the Rfam family "Bacterial large subunit ribosomal RNA", at positions 1497 to 2925 of the family's 2925-position model. The record is from RNAcentral.